GUGAGGAAUUUUCCGCAAUGGGCGAAAGCCUGACGGAGCAAUGCCGCGUGAAGGAUGAAGGCCUAUGGGUUGUAAACUUCUUUUCUCAGAAAAGAAUUAUGACGGUAUCUGAGGAAUAAGAAUCGGCUAACUCUGUGCCAGCAGCCGCGGUAAGACAGAGGAUGCAAGCGUUAUCCGGAAUGAUUGGGCGUAAAGCGUCUGUAGGUUGUUUAAAAAGUAUUCUGUCAAAGAUUAGGGCUUGACCCUAGAUAGUCAGAAUAAACUUUUAAGCUAGAUUUUGGUAGAGGCAGAGUGAAGUCCCUGUGGAGCUGUGAAAUGCGUAGAUAUCGAGAGGAACACCAAAGGCGAAGGCACUCUGCUGGGCCAAUACUAACACUGAGAGACGAAAGCGAGGGGAGCAAAUGGGAUUAGAAACCCCGGUAGUCC
Molecule: ribosomal RNA, 426 nt
Filed under: uncultured bacterium
Lineage: Bacteria
Description: partial 16S ribosomal RNA
Rfam family: Bacterial small subunit ribosomal RNA
Source: RNAcentral